UACAUGCAGUCGAGCGAAUGGAUUAAGAGCUUGCUCUUAUGAAGUUAGCGGCGGACGGGUGAGUAACACGUGGGUAACCUGCCCAUAAGACUGGGAUAACUCCGGGAAACCGGGGCUAAUACCGGAUAACAUUUUGAACCGCAUGGUUCGAAAUUGAAAGGCGGCUUCGGCUGUCACUUAUGGAUGGACCCGCGUCGCAUUAGCUAGUUGGUGAGGUAACGGCUCACCAAGGCAACGAUGCGUAGCCGACCUGAGAGGGUGAUCGGCCACACUGGGACUGAGACACGGCCCAGACUCCUACGGGAGGCAGCAGUAGGGAAUCUUCCGCAAUGGACGAAAGUCUGACGGAGCAACGCCGCGUGAGUGAUGAAGGCUUUCGGGUCGUAAAACUCUGUUGUUAGGGAAGAACAAGUGCUAGUUGAAUAAGCUGGCACCUUGACGGUACCUAACCAGAAAGCCACGGCUAACUACGUGCCAGCAGCCGCGGUAAUACGUAGGUGGCAAGCGUUAUCCGGAAUUAUUGGGCGUAAAGCGCGCGCAGGUGGUUUCUUAAGUCUGAUGUGAAAGCCCACGGCUCAACCGUGGAGGGUCAUUGGAAACUGGGAGACUUGAGUGCAGAAGAGGAAAGUGGAAUUCCAUGUGUAGCGGUGAAAUGCGUAGAGAUAUGGAG
Molecule: ribosomal RNA, 670 nt
Filed under: Bacillus cereus
Lineage: Bacteria; Bacillati; Bacillota; Bacilli; Caryophanales; Bacillaceae
Description: bacterial SSU rRNA
Rfam family: Bacterial small subunit ribosomal RNA
Source: RNAcentral